CCUACGGGAGGCAGCAGCAAGGAAUUUUCGUCAAUGGGGGAAACCCUGAACGAGCAACGCCGCGUGGGCGAAGAAGUCCUUCGGGAUGUAAAGCCCUUUUCCCUGUGAAGAAAGAAAGACGGUAGCAGGGGAAUAAGCAUCGGCUAACUACGUGCCAGCAGCCGCGGUAAUACGUAGGAUGCAAGCGUUGUCCGGAAUUAUUGGGCGUAAAGAGCGCGCAGGCGGUUUUACAAGUCAGAUGUGAAAGAGGCCGGCUUAACCGGCAAGGGUCAUUUGAAACUGUAAGACUAGAGUACAGCAGAGGAUAGCGGAAUUCCCGGUGUAGUGGUGAAAUGCGUAGAUAUCGGGAGGAACACCAGUGGCGAAGGCGGCUAUCUGGGCUGAAACUGACGCUGAGGCGCGAAGGCUAGGGUAGCAAACAGGAUUAGAUACCCCUGUAGUC
This 442-nucleotide ribosomal RNA is filed under the name uncultured bacterium. RNAcentral describes it as "bacterial SSU rRNA". It matches the Rfam family "Bacterial small subunit ribosomal RNA", at positions 338 to 795 of the family's 1533-position model. The record is from RNAcentral.